This 497-nucleotide ribosomal RNA is filed under the name uncultured bacterium. RNAcentral's name for it is "partial 16S ribosomal RNA". It matches the Rfam family "Bacterial small subunit ribosomal RNA", at positions 28 to 507 of the family's 1533-position model. The record is from RNAcentral.
GAUGAACGCUGGCGGCGUGCCUAAUACAUGCAAGUCGAGCGAACAGACGAGGAGCUUGCUCCUCUGACGUUAGCGGCGGACGGGUGAGUAACACGUGGAUAACCUACCUAUAAGACUGGGAUAACUUCGGGAAACCGGAGCUAAUACCGGAUAAUAUAUUGAACCGCAUGGUUCAAUAGUGAAAGACGGUUUUGCUGUCACUUAUAGAUGGAUCCGCGCCGCAUUAGCUAGUUGGUAAGGUAACGGCUUACCAAGGCAACGAUGCGUAGCCGACCUGAGAGGGUGAUCGGCCACACUGGACCUGAGCCACGGUCCAGACUCCUACGGGAGGCAGCAGUAGGGAAUCUUCCGCAAUGGGCGAAAGCCUUACGGAGCAACGCCGCGUGAGUGAUGAAGGUCUUCGGAUCGUAAAACUCUGUUAUUAGGGAAGAACAAAUGUGUAAGUAACUAUGCACGUCUUGACGGUACCUAAUCAGAAAGCCACGGCUAACUACGUG